This 880-nucleotide long non-coding RNA is filed under the name Actinidia chinensis (golden kiwifruit). Its description in RNAcentral is "long non-coding RNA (ACHI_LNC000401)". The record is from RNAcentral. Lineage: Eukaryota; Viridiplantae; Streptophyta; Magnoliopsida; Ericales; Actinidiaceae.
AACAAGUUUUUGUUUACGUUUAUUUCAAAAAACAGAAAUUAAACAGAAAAAUAGAAAUUAAACAGUUAACAAGAAUCAACAAUAUCACCUUGAUGUCUUGUUACUUCUAUUGAAUUCUUUUUAAUUUCUUAUUAAUUUUUUGUUUUUAAUUUUCUUAUUAAAGAGUGCAUUCUGUUUCUGAUAAAAUUAUUGGAGGUCUAGAAAAAAUUGAAAGAGUUAAAAACAAACUCUUCUGAUAGAGAUCGUCAACAAUGAUUUUGUCUUAUUUUCGCUUUUCGUGAAUUUUUUUCAAUUUUUUUAAAAAAAAUCAAUUACUCUACUCACCUUGAACUAAAAAAGAAAGAAAGAAAUAGAUCACAAAUUGAAAAAUCAUUCAAAAUAAUGAAGGCAUAAAUAGCCAGAAAAACAAACUAAUUUAAAACUGGGGAACCCAAGGGCCAGAAAACUACAAAGAUAAAAAUAUAUAUAUAUAUAUAUAGAAAAUUUACUGCGUGAAUAUUCAUUUUAAUCACCCACCGGUUUAUAAAUUGAAUCCCAACUUUUGGAGUCAUAAGAUGUAAUAAAUUGUUUCAAUUCGGGAAAAAGAUGUAAGAAUCCACAUAUAUAACAAGUACAUAAACAAGCACAUAGAAACAGAGUCCUCACUCAUUUUCGCCAGAUCCGAUCGCAGAGAAAUCGGAAAACAGAUCCUCGAUCUUGCAGAGAAAUCGGAGAACGAAAAUAAAUCUGAAAGACUUUGCAAACGAGGUUUUGGACGACCAACGGAGUAUUAUGAAGAACCCGUGGAAAAUAUGUAGAAAGAACCAGCGACUUACAAAGCUUUUGAUUUCAUUCCUGAUAGAAUGUUUUUGGGAGGAAAUGACGAGGUCAUACACGCAUU